This is a long non-coding RNA of Anas platyrhynchos (mallard), 705 nucleotides long. RefSeq lists it as uncharacterized. NCBI's taxonomy places the organism in Eukaryota, Metazoa, Chordata, Aves, Anseriformes, Anatidae. The record is from RefSeq and is a predicted model, not a curated record.
GUCUGACUACACGACAGUCCAUAUGAAGUCAAACUCUUUGACAGCACCAAGGACAGGAUGAAAGAAGAGAUAAAAUACAGAUAUGGCAAGAGGAACAAAGGAAAAACAGUUGUUAGUGGAGAGACGGAAUGAAAAUCAGCCCACAGGGAAGGAGGACCACCUUCUAUCCUCAAAAGAGCACCUAGAGCAUAAAGAAUUUCUGCAAUGAGGACUUCUACGCACAUCAUUAGAUAGCUGAGAAUUAAACACCAUUGUAACUCCUCCUUGGCUGCUCUGCAGAUGUACCACACUCCUGUGCUGACCACCUCCACAUCAUGCUCCUUCCUCAUGAUUCUGGUCCCAGUGCAAAAAAAGGUCACUCUAAAAGCACUUCAGUAAAUGCUUAGGGCUCAUUGAACCUCUGCUUAGUAUUUCUGUUGAGUCAUGAUUAUAUCGUACAUUGGAAAUAAGAAUUCAUUCUAUCUUAUUUUUUCUUUUUCUUUUUUUCCAGUGUUAAACCCUAGGAUUGUUUUAAUAAUACCUGAGAGAAGCACCGUUAAUCAGGAACGUACUUAUGCAAUUGCUUCACUAACUCCUAAAUCAGGGGCUCCUCUUCAGUCAAUAAUAACAAGUAUUUUUGUGUAUGCCUAAUUUUCAGCACAGAACUUUAACAUAACUAAUCACAUAAUUACAGUUAUGCUCUAGCUAAAGUACUUUGCUUGAUCA